This 750-nucleotide long non-coding RNA is filed under the name Homo sapiens (human). Its description in RNAcentral is "HSALNT0334678". The record is from RNAcentral. Lineage: Eukaryota; Metazoa; Chordata; Mammalia; Primates; Hominidae.
UGCAACCAAUCUUCAGAACUAUUUCAUCUCACAAAACUGAAGGUGAACAGAUUUGCCUUUGACGGCCCAGUGAGCUACUCUUUAAGAUGAGAACAACAAUAUUUUAUCCUGUCAUGGAAGGCAGGGGACUGGACUAGUUAAUUUCUUGUACCCAUCAGUUCUGGGAUCAUAAAAUCCUAUGAAUUAGAGAAAACCAACUGUAUGCUGGUGCCAGACUCUUGAACAUGAAGCAAGUAUGCAACAGACCAAUGUUUCAGCAUGUGCCUGCCCACAUGACAAACUGUUGUUUAUAGAGCACCAACUAUGCACACAAUAAUGAUGAUGACAAGUCAUUUUUGAGUGUUUACUCCUCACAACAGCCCCAUGAACUAGUUUGUAUCAUUAUCCCCACUUAAAAAAUAUAGAAACGGAGGCACAGGGAAGCCAAGUCAUUUGUCCACAGCACAAAAUCAAUAAGCAGCAGAGAUGACUUUGAACAGAGACCAUCUGUUGAAACUGACUGCAAAGAGGCACAGGGAAUUUUGAGGGGUGAUGGAAAUGUUUUUUUAUUAUAAAAUUAAAUGUCAAAGGUGGAGAACUGUUUCCCAGAGAGCAGUUUCGAAACUAUUUGUAGCUAAGUUUAAUUUGUUAUAUUUUAUUUUUAUUAUAAAUUUUUUUUUUUUUGAGAGAUGAGGCCUCACUGUGUUGCCCAGGCUGGAGUGCAGUGGCAUGAUCGUAGCUUACUGCGGCCUCAAACUCCUGGGCUCAAGC